CCGAUCAUUCACAAGCAGUUCAUCGCUCGUUCUCCCACGCAUCCAUUCCAUUGCCCACACUGCUUAUAUAUUCAUCUCUCGGACGUACGCCCGUAUACACGCGUUGCCGUCCGUCGUCAAGUCGCUGGCCGCUCGUCGUCCACUGCCUCGCUUGAUUCCGGCCGCUCAACAUAUGCACCAUCGUACGCGUCUUUCUUGUGCUGGCGUAGGCAAAGCACCGGUGUGUCUUCAGGGCUGUUGCGGCACUUCGAUCGGCUAAUCCUAUUGUCAAGGUGAGAAACAAGGCAAGCUGAAGGCCUUCCCCUACCACUCCGU
Molecule: long non-coding RNA, 315 nt
Filed under: Hordeum vulgare
Lineage: Eukaryota; Viridiplantae; Streptophyta; Magnoliopsida; Poales; Poaceae
Description: long non-coding RNA (HVUL_LNC017376)
Source: RNAcentral